This 261-nucleotide non-coding RNA is filed under the name Carnobacterium maltaromaticum. RNAcentral's name for it is "T-box sequence". It matches the Rfam family "T-box leader". From Rfam's summary of the family: Uncharged tRNA acts as the effector for transcription antitermination of genes in the T-box leader family. T-boxes are found upstream of many aminoacyl-tRNA synthetase genes and some amino acid biosynthetic genes usually in Gram-positive bacteria. The anticodon of a specific tRNA base pairs to a specifier sequence within the T-box motif, and the NCCA acceptor tail of the tRNA base pairs to a conserved bulge in the T-box antiterminator hairpin. Lineage: Bacteria; Bacillati; Bacillota; Bacilli; Lactobacillales; Carnobacteriaceae. The record is from RNAcentral.
GAAAAAACGAUGAAAAGAAGAGUAAACUUGAAAUGAAGCGCAAAGAGAGCCUGGCUAGGUGGGAACAGGUGGUGGAUAGUAGAGUUGAACAUGGUCUUGGAGUUGAAUGGCUAAACUGGAGAGAACUCCUUUAGGUCAUUCCGGAUGCAGCCGUUAUAUUGCCACAGUUUGACAAGCUUUUUUCAGCUUAAGUACUGGUAGAGACAGAUGUAGUGAUGCACCUGUAAAAAAAGGUGGUAACGCGAAAAUUUCGCCCUUUUA